UGCUGUUUGCUUUGGCCAUUCGAGGGCGCUGCUUGCUUUAGCAGUUUCAAUGUUAGCUUAAUUGUUUCACUCGGUACUUGCUCGGAAGUUUUAUUAAAGAGAAAACUGGACCAGAGUGAACGGCCGUCGCAAGAGCAGCAUCAUCAUAUCACUGAUUACGAGUAAUAGUUCUGACGGGAACGAGGGGGCCGCCGCCUAGCAUCCGGAGGAGACCUUAACUUUAAAGGGGUCAAAAAGAAGAAAUGCGCCCAUACAAGUGGAGACCAAAAAAAGUAUAUCGAAGAUUCCCUCAGAUGGGUAACAACAACAUCAAGCCACAGACCCCUAGUCAGGAAGAGGACUGGGAAAAGGAGUUAGAGGAGAUUUCACAACGCAUUGAAAAGCAGAAAGAGCCUCCUUAUGAUCCUGGAGAUGAUUUGAGUACUGGAGUAAGGGAGGGGUUUCACUGUAAUGUCCAGAAUGGCCCAAGCUCAAGCCAGGAACACUACAGCCCAGCAAUUCACCACAUUAAACCUGUGAAAUGGGUCCGCUUUAUUUAUGCUGUAGUGGAUGACCAGUUUGCUGAUGCAGAAGAAUAAGGCUGUUGGUUCCUUGUAUAUGUGCUUCCUUUCAGGAAAAAAAAAAAGUUUAUAUAAAAUUUGUUUAUAAGCUACUGAGCCCAGGCUAAUGUUUUAAGUACUUUUGUUGUUUUUAGUGGCCUCUCAGUAUUUGAUGUUAAUUUAUAGUUAUGUUGAUCAAAUCAUUGCUGAGCAUUCAUAUUUGCAAGUUUAUUUCAUUCAUUGAUUUUUGCCAGUUGAAGCCAAUUUGUUUUAAUCUCUAAGCACAAUUUUCAAUUUGAUUACUGUUUAUCUAUUAAAUACUGCAUUACAAUGUUAAUCUGAAUU
Molecule: long non-coding RNA, 884 nt
Organism: Sinocyclocheilus grahami
Lineage: Eukaryota; Metazoa; Chordata; Actinopteri; Cypriniformes; Cyprinidae
Exons: 3
Source: RefSeq, a predicted model, not a curated record